GAUGAAGAACGCAGCGAAAUGCGAUAAGUAAUGUGAAUUGCGGAAUUCAGUGAAUCAUCGAAUCUUUGAACGCACAUUGCGCCCGUCAGUAUUCUGGCGGGCAUGCCUGUUCGAGCGUCAUUACGCCCCUCAAGUCCCCUGUGGACUUGGUGUUGGGGAUCGGCGAGGCUGGUUUUCCAGCACAGCCGUCCCUUAAAUUAAUUGGCGGUCUCGCCGUGGCCCUCCUCUGCGCAGUAGUAAAACACUCGCAACAGGAGCCCGGCGCGGUCCACUGCCGUAAAACCCCCCAACUUUUUACAGUUGACCUCGAAUCAGGUAGGACUACCCGCUGAACUUAAGCAUAUCAAUAAGCGGAGGA
Molecule: unclassified non-coding RNA, 358 nt
Filed under: soil metagenome
Description: partial contains 5.8S ribosomal RNA, internal transcribed spacer 2, and large subunit ribosomal RNA
Rfam family: 5.8S ribosomal RNA (bases 1-120)
Source: RNAcentral